Molecule: long non-coding RNA, 1803 nt
Organism: Peromyscus californicus insignis
Lineage: Eukaryota; Metazoa; Chordata; Mammalia; Rodentia; Cricetidae
Exons: 3
Source: RefSeq, a predicted model, not a curated record
GGGAGGGAGGCGAGGAAGAAGGUGUUAUGUAAGACCUUAGCUCAUAGCCUUUGGUUCCGGAGUCCCUGAAUCUGUUAACCAUCUCGUGGUGCUAAUGAGGAUGCCCAGAUGAAACGGAGGACCCAGACUGCCCAUCUCCUUGUUUCAGUACCCAUGGAAUCCAGAAGAGGAUGUCAGAUCCCCUGGAGCUGAAGUUAUAAGCAGUUAUGAAUCACCUGACAUAAGAACCUAAACUUGGGUCUUCUGCAAGAGCAACACACACUCUCAAACCCUGAGCCAUCUCUCCAGCCCUCGCAAAGACAUUUUUAUACUAUGUUAAGAAUGGAAAUAGUUUGGCUUGGGGUUAUUUCAAGGGCUCAGCCACUUCAGUGAGGACCCAGCUCAGCCAUGGCGGUGAGGACCCGGCUCUUCCUAUCUGUCCAAGCUCCGUCUUUGGUGUGUUGGCGAUAUGUCCUGCAGGGCUGAGAAGCGCAGCCUCACAUUCCAGCAUUUGUCAUAGGAUGAAGAGGAUAGAAUCAAAAGAACCUAGUUCUCUUUCAACAAAGAGAACCAACUUUUCUGAAGGCCUCUGGCAGACUUCUCCUUAACCCCACUGCCCACGCACCUGCUCGCAAACCCCUCUUUAGACUGAGAAGUAUGAGAAAGGAAAGGGCUGCCACCUUUGCCUUAAAUGAUCAUAAAUGUCCCCUGGUGAUGAGCACAUCACUACCUACAAGCAGUUGGGUGGGGUUCUAUUAGUCAGGAAGUGAAAAGACUGUUGGAUGGGCCCCUGGCCCCUGGCUGGUCUCUGUGCGCCUUCCCACCACCCUUUCCAGAUGAAGAAGCUGGGUUCCAUUAAGGUUAAGGACCACACAUCCAAAACUGUUAAAGUCAAGACAACCCCUUAUGAUCUAGAAAUGUCUGUGUCUUAAUGUUCUAGAAAGUAUUCCAUAAUUCAGUGCUCUUCAAAGUGAGCUUUAGUUACACAAGACGUGGGGCAAAAUGGAAAUCAAUGGGAGCCAGAGCCAGGGAAAUUCCUUUUUCUGUUUUUAUGUCUCAGACUUACUGAGUGAAAUACUUGCCAUGUUCAAAAUUGUGAAGUUAGUUUAUUUGUUUAUUCCAACAGUUAUCGCCUUCCCUACAAUAUACUGAGGAGAAUGUUAGAUGCUAGGAAAAUAGCUCAUGUGUAUAAAUCUUUCACAUAGGUGUCUCUUCAAGUAUUAAGUAAAAAUAUGGUGGUAGAAUUAUAAAAAUCACUGGUGACAAAGAUAACAUAUUUUUCAAAGCCCGAGUUAUUUUUUUCCUUCUUGGUCACAGCCUCCUUUGAAAUUGCAUCAUACCAUGUGACUAGUAUUUGGCCAAUCUGUGGGCAGAAGUAAUAUAUGCUAUUUCCCGGUCUGCCUACGAAACCCUGUAAACCAGUGGUUUUCAUCCUUCCUAAUGCUGCAACCCUUUAAUACAGUUCCUCAUGUUGUGGUGACCCCCAACCAUAAAAUUACGUUCAUUACUAAUUCUUAACUGUAAUUAUGAUUCUGCUAUGAAUCGUAAUGUAAAUAUCUGUGUUUUCUGAUGGUCUUAGGUGAUCCCUAUGAAAGGGUCAUUUGAUCACCACGGGGUCACAACCCACAGGUUGAGAAACACAACUGUAAGCUCUUCCCAGAGAGCAGUACCCUCCCCACUAGUCUUUUUUUCCUGCUGUAUAGGUCAUCAAUCAUCCUGCCUUUUUUUUCCUUAAUCUUUUUAUGCAUUAGAAAAUAAAUAUUGAGCCGGGCGGUGGUGGCGCACGCCUUUAAUCCCAGCACUCGGGAGGCAGAGCCAGGUGGA